This 25-nucleotide non-coding RNA is filed under the name Cricetulus griseus (Chinese hamster). Lineage: Eukaryota; Metazoa; Chordata; Mammalia; Rodentia; Cricetidae. The record is from RNAcentral.
GGCCAGGCUGGCUGGCUGGGGCUGA